UACAGAGGUCUCGAGCGUUAGGCGGAAUCACUGGGCUUAAAGCGUGUGUAGGUGGAUCGUUAAGUACCUUGUGAAAUCCCACGGCUUAACCGUGGAACUGCUUGGUAUACUGGCGGUCUUGAGCCACUUAGGGGCUACCGGAACAAAUGGUGGAGCGGUGAAAUGCGUAGAUAUCAUUUGGAACGCCAAUGGUGAAAACAGGUAGCUGGGAGUGUGUUGACACUGAGACACGAAAGCCAGGGGAGCAAACGGG
Molecule: ribosomal RNA, 253 nt
Filed under: uncultured bacterium
Lineage: Bacteria
Description: partial 16S ribosomal RNA
Rfam family: Bacterial small subunit ribosomal RNA
Source: RNAcentral